RNAcentral lists this ribosomal RNA (264 nucleotides) under uncultured bacterium. Its description in RNAcentral is "partial 16S ribosomal RNA". It matches the Rfam family "Bacterial small subunit ribosomal RNA", at positions 793 to 1055 of the family's 1533-position model. The record is from RNAcentral.
GUCCACGCCGUAAACGAUGGAUGCUAGCCGUUGGUGGGUUUACCCUUCAGUGGCGCAGCUAACGCAUUAAGCAUCCCGCCUGGGGAGUACGGUCGCAAGAUUAAACUCAAAGGAAUUGACGGGGCCCGCACAAGCGGUGGAGCAUGUGGUUCAAUUCGAAGCAACGCGCAGAACCUUACCAGCCCUUGACAUGUCCCGUAUGAGCUCCGGAGACGGAGUUCUUCAGUUCGGCUGGCGGGAACACAGGUGCUGCAUGGCUGUCGU